GCAAGAAGAAAAGGCAAAAAUUAGGGUUCCUCCUCCAUUGUUGAUUGAAAGCUGCGAUUCAAGAUAAGGUCGAAGAAGACAGAACACGCAAAGUAGAAAGAAGAUGUCGUGUAGCAGAUUUGGGUGCGUCUCUGAGAUCGGUAGUGAGAACAAGAGCAACUUCAGCAGUGAAUUUCAAAGUAAUGAUAUGGAAGAUUCAAAUGGUCAAGAAACUCUCCUUCAAGUUUCUUAUUUGAACGACUCGACUGUGAUUUCUUUGAUUAAAAGUGGCGUCAUUUGCACACCACUGCCUUUUGUCAAUUGCCUUCUUGUCGGGCAGGCAAAAGGAUUUUGCCAGCCAAGAUGAUUUUUUUGUUCCCAAAUUACACGACGGGAAUUUUGCUAGUUACCUAUCACUGAAGAGAAAGAUCUUGAAGGCACGAAAGAUACGAGAGCGAUCUCUCACCAUGAGGUGUUUAGAUGAAGUGAAUUUGAUUGGUAAUAGUGGAACUUACACAUGGGAGGAUCCAUUCCUGACCUUUGGAGGUUGUAGAGGAACUUGGAAUCCAAAUAGCAGACAAUAGGUAUCUCAUCCAUCAAAAUAUAACUGGCAUACAUAACACCAAAGGUGAUAAGGUGCAUGGCAUUAAAUUACCAACCGGAUACGCAUAUGCAUGCAGAGCACAUAGAGGAGCUUGUUAAUCAAAGAAAUAGUAUUGACUGCGGAUAUUUUGUGAUGAGAUUCAGGAAAGAGGUUGCCAUGGAAUAUCCAAAUAAGAUCCCCAAUAAUUACUUUGAUGACCACAAAUGUCCUUCAUACUCUUUGGAGAAGCUAGAUGAGGUGAGGGAGGAAUCGGCUACCUAUGUGGCCUAACAUGUUAUCAAGACGGCAAAAAUGAAGCAAAUAUAUUAACUGAUCAGUGAAUUAACCAAUAGUUGGUAAAUUGUAUCUUAUUGCUAAGGUUUUGUGGCUUUAUUUCUGUUCUGGUCAGCUGCAACCUGCAGGUCUGCUGUGUGUAUUUGGGUUCAGUUGCUUGUAGUUUUGGUGCCGCAAGGAGCUGCUAUGCUUUGUAUUUGUUAUUAGGUGGAGUUUUGUUUUGCCAAUUUUCUGGUUUUUUUAGUAGAGGUUUGGUAUUCUCCCUGAGCUUUUUGCGUUCUGUGCUUGAUAGAGGAGAACAUUUGAUAGCGCUUAAUAAACACUAUUAUAGGUACCAAACCUAUGAUAGUGAUGCUUGUAAGAGUUUUUAAGUGCUAUUAAAAGAAAAAGAAAAGAUGCAAGUCUUGGUAGCUCUGCGGUGAUAUCCUCAGCAUGACGGAGUGGUUGGAUAGCCUCAAACGGUGUCGUAGUACGGAUGAUAGAGGU
Long non-coding RNA from Trifolium pratense (red clover), 1342 nucleotides. RefSeq lists it as uncharacterized. The record is from RefSeq and is a predicted model, not a curated record. NCBI's taxonomy places the organism in Eukaryota, Viridiplantae, Streptophyta, Magnoliopsida, Fabales, Fabaceae. The transcript is spliced from 6 exons.